UGGGGAAUCUUGCACAAUGGGGGAAACCCUGAUGUAGCGACGCCGCGUGAGUGAUGAAGCCCUUCGGGGUGUAAAGCUCUUUCGGCAGGGACGAUAAUGACGGUACCUGAAGAAGAAGCUGCGGCUAACUACGUGCCAGCAGCCGCGGUAAUACGUAGGCAGCGAGCGUUGUUCGGAGUUACUGGGCGUAAAGAGUGCGUAGGCGGUUUUCUAAGUUUGGUGUGAAAUCUCCCGGCUCAACUGGGAGGGUGCGCCGAAGACUGGAAGGCUAGAGUAUGGGAGAGGUAAGCGGAAUUCCUGGUGUAGCGGUAAAAUGCGUAGAUAUUAGGAGGAACACCAGUGGCGAAGGCGGCUUACUGGACGGUAACUGACGUUGAGGCUCGAAAGCGUGGGGAGCAAACAGGAUUAGAUACCC
Molecule: ribosomal RNA, 415 nt
Filed under: uncultured bacterium
Lineage: Bacteria
Description: bacterial SSU rRNA
Rfam family: Bacterial small subunit ribosomal RNA
Source: RNAcentral